ACCUUAGUGGUGUAACGGUAGCAUACUCGGCUCGUAUUCGAGAGGUCCAAGUUCGAGUCUUGACGAAGGAA
RNAcentral lists this transfer RNA (71 nucleotides) under Stegodyphus mimosarum. It matches the Rfam family "tRNA". From Rfam's summary of the family: Transfer RNA (tRNA) molecules are approximately 80 nucleotides in length. Their secondary structure includes four short double-helical elements and three loops (D, anti-codon, and T loops). Further hydrogen bonds mediate the characteristic L-shaped molecular structure. tRNAs have two regions of fundamental functional importance: the anti-codon, which is responsible for specific mRNA codon recognition, and the 3' end, to which the tRNAs corresponding amino acid is attached (by aminoacyl-tRNA synthetases). tRNAs cope with the degeneracy of the genetic code in two manners: having more than one tRNA (with a specific anti-codon) for a particular amino acid; and 'wobble' base-pairing, i.e. permitting non-standard base-pairing at the 3rd anti-codon position. The record is from Rfam by way of RNAcentral. Lineage: Eukaryota; Metazoa; Arthropoda; Arachnida; Araneae; Eresidae.